This is a long non-coding RNA of Peromyscus leucopus (white-footed mouse), 1182 nucleotides long. RefSeq lists it as uncharacterized. The record is from RefSeq and is a predicted model, not a curated record. NCBI's taxonomy places the organism in Eukaryota, Metazoa, Chordata, Mammalia, Rodentia, Cricetidae. The transcript has 3 exons.
ACCGCCUGGUCCCCAAAGUCAAACUCCACUUCCUGUUCUCUGUACUUCCUCUUGCCUGCCCUCACGGGUCGUUGUUAUUGACUGUCAACUCGAUAGGAUCUACAGUUGCCGAGGAGGCAAACCUCUGGGCAUGUCUGCAAGGUCUCUAUGGCAGCCAGCAUAGACUGAUGCUCACGGUGGAUUAAAGACAAAAAAAAGCACAGGCUCUAACAUGGGGAAGCCGCUUCGUCAGGAGUCGCCUCCAUUUUCUCACCCAUCCAAUGGAAAGCGGGAAAUCAGAGAGCCGAAGACAAGCAAGGAAAGUCUUCCAAGAUAUCCAGGCCCAACUGUGGGGUUCAGGCAGGGCACCGAGCACCGUGGGGGGCCUGUCUGACAAACCUCCAACGGAAUCCAGAGUUCUCGAGAGUGAGGUCUAAACACCGGCCCCACCACACACAGGCACAGCCUGGGCCCAGAAGAUGAUGAGCGAAAAUGAAGAGCACCUCAGGGGACCCUCCCACAGACAGUCUGUCACCCAGUGAGUCUGCCAUUCCGUUUCAAAGUUUAAUUAGAGAGUCGCUUUCCAACGCUUAGAUGCAAUUAACCCCCCGGAGCCGUCCUGGUGACGCCGUAACUGACACGGGCCACAGAUGCCCACCGUGGCUCUCGGAAUCACAGAUUGGAAGGGAUUCUCAAGCAGGAAGAUAAGUGACAAAGAUCUGUGGUUUUCAGGAGAAAACUUACUUCCUAAGAGUCAGAUGGAACAAGCCUCUCCCAUCUGAGAGACUAACUUUCCCCUGGAGGCCCCCUUCAUGACACACAGCCCCCUCCAGCACAGACAGUCCUGACGUUCCUGUGGAGGAAGAGUCAGGGCCUCCAAGCUGAGCCCCCAGACUGGUGCUCAGUGAGCUAUGCGCGCGCAUCCUCCUGGCCCGGCAUGGUUGCUACUGCACUGGUCUUCUUUCCCAGUAACUCAGUUAGAGAGCAGAGACACUCUGUUCGCUUUUCCCCGGGUUGUACACGAUGUUCAUGUACAAGAUGGCCCAAGGUCAAAAAGAACUCAAAGGGUUCCAGACAAAUUUCAGAGCAAUUUGUCUAUGGGAAUGACCUUUUAAAGCCAGACAUAUCAGUCGGGUGAUGACGCACGCCUUUAAUCCCAGCACUCGGGAGGCAGAAGCAGGUGGAGCUCUGUGAGUUGGAGGC